CAAGUCGAACGAGUUCUCGUUGAUGAUCGGUGCUUGCACCGAGAUUCAACAUGGAACGAGUGGCGGACGGGUGAGUAACACGUGGGUAACCUGCCCUUAAGUGGGGGAUAACAUUUGGAAACAGAUGCUAAUACCGCAUAGAUCCAAGAACCGCAUGGUUCUUGGCUGAAAGAUGGCGUAAGCUAUCGCUUUUGGAUGGACCCGCGGCGUAUUAGCUAGUUGGUGAGGUAAUGGCUCACCAAGGCGAUGAUACGUAGCCGAACUGAGAGGUUGAUCGGCCACAUUGGGACUGAGACACGGCCCAAACUCCUACGGGAGGCAGCAGUAGGGAAUCUUCCACAAUGGACGCAAGUCUGAUGGAGCAACGCCGCGUGAGUGAAGAAGGCUUUCGGGUCGUAAAACUCUGUUGUUGGAGAAGAAUGGUCGGCAGAGUAACUGUUGCCGGCGUGACGGUAUCCAACCAGAAAGCCACGGCUAACUACGUGCCAGCAGCCGCGGUAAUACGUAGGUGGCAAGCGUUAUCCGGAUUUAUUGGGCGUAAAGCGAGCGCAGGCGGUUUUUUAAGUCUGAUGUGAAAGCCCUCGGCUUAACCGAGGAAGCGCAUCGGAAACUGGGAAACUUGAGUGCAGAAGAGGACAGUGGAACUCCAUGUGU
This 654-nucleotide ribosomal RNA is filed under the name Lactobacillus helveticus. RNAcentral describes it as "bacterial SSU rRNA". It matches the Rfam family "Bacterial small subunit ribosomal RNA", at positions 58 to 676 of the family's 1533-position model. The record is from RNAcentral. Lineage: Bacteria; Bacillati; Bacillota; Bacilli; Lactobacillales; Lactobacillaceae.